AGCUUUCUUCCCGCCAGGCCCCCUCCACCCGAUCGCCGCGCGCUCUCCGAACCAAAAGGCGACCUCACGAAAUGCCCCUUUGAGCUCAAAGGCUAGUUACCCCCAGGGGCCCUUCCACUCUCGGGGACAGGCGAAACCUCUUUGUCUCUGCCUCGGCCUGCGGCCCCCAGCCCAGCCUCCGCGCUUUCCCUCCGCCAGUCCUUGUCAAUCAAACCUGGUGCCAAACGCGGCAGCUGAAGUUUUCAGGGACACAUUUGCUUCUCCCCUUGAAGAACCAGUUACAAAGCGUGAUGUCCUCUCUGGGGUCCCAUCAGAACAAAGAAACAGGUCUAAAGACCCUCAUUCCAGAGAGCAUCCUGCCCCAUAUCCAGAAUGAAAUCCAUGCUCAGAGAUGCCAAGAAGAAUCUAGACAGACAGGCCUUUCUAGGCUGUACAAGAAGCAUGAUGCCAGCAUCUGCUUCUGGUGACAACCUCAAGAAGUUUACAAUUGGCCGCGUGCGGUGGCUCAUGCCUGUAAUGCCAGCACUUCGGGAGGCGGAGACAGAUGGAUCAUUUGAGGUCAGGAGUUCGAGACCAGGCUGGCCAACAUGGUGAAACCCCAUCUCUACUAAAAAUACAAAAAUUAGCUGGGCAUGGUGGCAUGUGUCUGGAAUCCCUGCUACUCAGGAGGCUGAGGCAAGAGGAUCACUUGGAACUUGGGAGGCAGAGGUUGCUGUGAGCUGAGAUCACACCACUGUACUCCAGCCUGGGCAACAGAGUGAUACUCUAUCUCAAAAAAAAAAGAAAGAAAGAAAGAAAAGAAAAAGAAGCUUACAAUCAUGGUGGAAGGCGAAGAGGAGGAGCAGGCAUAUCACAUGGCCAAAAAGGGAGCAAGAGAAAGGUGAGAAAGACACUAGACUCUUUUUAAAACCAGCUCUCACAUGAGCUAAUGGAAUAAGAACUCACUCAUUACCACAAGGACAGAACCCAGCCAUUCAUGAGGGACCUGCCACCAUGACCCAAAAACCUCCUACUUGACCCAACCUCCAACACUGGGGAUA
This 1040-nucleotide long non-coding RNA is filed under the name Homo sapiens (human). Its description in RNAcentral is "non-protein coding NNT-AS1:5". Lineage: Eukaryota; Metazoa; Chordata; Mammalia; Primates; Hominidae. The record is from RNAcentral.